GUGGGGAAUAUUGGACAAUGGGCGCAAGCCUGAUCCAGCAAUGUCGCGUGGGUGAAGAAGGUCUUCGGAUCGUAAAGCCCUUUCGACAGGGACGAUGAUGACGGUACCUGUAGAAGAAGCCCCGGCUAACUUCGUGCCAGCAGCCGCGGUAAUACGAAGGGGGCUAGCGUUACUCGGAAUUACUGGGCGUAAAGGGCGCGUAGGCGGCUCUGUUAGUCAGGCGUGAAAUUCCUGGGCUUAACCUGGGGACUGCGCUUGAUACUGCAGGGCUUGAGGCCGAGAGAGGGUGGUGGAAUUCCCAGUGUAGAGGUGAAAUUCGUAGAUAUUGGGAAGAACACCGGUGGCGAAGGCGACCACCUGGCUCGGUUCUGACGCUGAGGCGCGACAGCGUGGGGAGCAAACAGGAUUAGAUACCCCAGU
RNAcentral lists this ribosomal RNA (420 nucleotides) under uncultured bacterium. RNAcentral describes it as "partial 16S ribosomal RNA". It matches the Rfam family "Bacterial small subunit ribosomal RNA", at positions 354 to 791 of the family's 1533-position model. The record is from RNAcentral.